GCCUGCUUAGCUCAGUUGGCCAGAGCUCCCGUUUCAUACGCGGGUUGUCACUAGUUCGAAUCUAGUAGUAGGCA
RNAcentral lists this transfer RNA (74 nucleotides) under Golenkinia longispicula. RNAcentral describes it as "tRNA-Met". It matches the Rfam family "tRNA". Rfam says of the family: Transfer RNA (tRNA) molecules are approximately 80 nucleotides in length. Their secondary structure includes four short double-helical elements and three loops (D, anti-codon, and T loops). Further hydrogen bonds mediate the characteristic L-shaped molecular structure. tRNAs have two regions of fundamental functional importance: the anti-codon, which is responsible for specific mRNA codon recognition, and the 3' end, to which the tRNAs corresponding amino acid is attached (by aminoacyl-tRNA synthetases). tRNAs cope with the degeneracy of the genetic code in two manners: having more than one tRNA (with a specific anti-codon) for a particular amino acid; and 'wobble' base-pairing, i.e. permitting non-standard base-pairing at the 3rd anti-codon position. The record is from RNAcentral. Lineage: Eukaryota; Viridiplantae; Chlorophyta; Chlorophyceae; Chlamydomonadales; Golenkiniaceae.